CCUUCCUUCUCACUGGUCUUGGUCCUUGGUACAAGAAAAAUAAAUGGGAAAAAGUAUAUUAUUCCUGAUAAAUAGUUUUCAGAAGAGUAGUCUUAUUAAUGCCGGAAGGAUUGUGUGCAAUCACUGUUUUCUUAACAAAAGUUAGUUUUGGUUACUUGCUGCUUCCCAGUUAUUUUUAAUUUUUGCCCAGAGAGGGUUUUUUUUAAAGGCUAGGUCAAUAGUCCUGCUUAUUUAAAUGCAAAGUAACCAUGUUAACGGAAGAGCACAGUGUUUAUGGGUAAUUAUUCUGAAAGGAGCCUGACUCCUGUGUCAGUGCCGUGGCAUGUGGUCCCAUCUCUGCAGCCAGCCCGCAGGAGGCUGCCUUUGGAGAAGUGCUCAGGUUGAUGCUAGAGGGUUAAGGAAAAAACAGAGCUUACAAGCACUUUCAUCUUUAAAUGUCAUAGGGAUAUGGAUUGUAGAGUCAAAGGCUCGGUCAUUACUCAUGCUUUGUUUAAAUGCUUGAGGACUCACGCUUUAUCACCGUAUUGUACUUUUACUUAAAGUAGAUAUUAAGAGACUGAGGGGUUAAGACACAGAAGAACUGCUAUGUCUAAUAUAUUACACUGGACAAGUAUAGUAAGCAACCCUGCUCAACUCAUUUAGACCCAAAGGUGUAUGAGAGGACUUAGGUUUCUGUCAGGUGGCACUUUUAUCGCCAGCCCUGAGUUUAACCAAGAGAAAGAAGAAUUGAAACCUAAGUCACAGCGCAGUGAAACCAGGGAAGUCCACUCCAUGGCUGCCCUCAUGAGACUGCCUGCCCCCACCUCCUCCUGGAAGGAGAGAGUCUAAAUGUCUUUAUUUCCC
Molecule: long non-coding RNA, 843 nt
Organism: Pipistrellus kuhlii (Kuhl's pipistrelle)
Lineage: Eukaryota; Metazoa; Chordata; Mammalia; Chiroptera; Vespertilionidae
Exons: 2
Source: RefSeq, a predicted model, not a curated record